UGACUUGAGAAGCUGGCAUCUUUAAAUAUGUAAAUUGAGAACAAGAAUAUUAAUAAAUUUUUUAUGUUUGGUUUUUUUUCCCUUUCCUUCAGUUUGCUAAAGCACUCUCCAGUGCAUGCAUCUUAGCAGUAUGUGUAUGAAGGAGACUGGGCAGGAUUCAGUCCAAACAUACAUUUUUCAUUAAAUGGUGCCAACUAGACACCAAAGAGAAGCAACUUGCAUUCUGAUGAAGAGGGUGUUUUCCUGUUUAGGAGGAAAUAUAAGGAUUUGGAGUGAAAUAUGAAACUGCUCUAAAUUCUAGGCCUUCAAAGCAAAAAUAUUUCACCGAGAGCAUGAGACAUACACAAGAUCCACGACUCCAACUACUGCAAUUUCAGGAUAAAGAUACUAAAUCAGCUCACUGAGGGAAUGAAAUAUCUUUCAACUCUCUUGGGCAAGAUACUGUGCUUUGCUGUGGAGUCCUGUCCCUUCUGCCACUGACUUCAAAAAGCAAAAGGCAAGUGUCAGCAUCAGAGCUGCAGCUGAUUCAUCUGGAUACUCUGGCUGUGACAAAUUUUACAUGCCUGGCUGUUGGAAAAGAUGAGGCUCAACUGAAAGUCUACCAGUGGGACACUUAAUCAAAAGGGGAGAAACAAAGCUACAAGAGAUGGAAAAAAAAAAUAGUGAGAGAAGACAGAGAAGAAGGAGAGUCAUCCAUUGGAGCAGGUAAAACAUGUCAGGAGAAAGGGGCAGAAGAGAGAAACUGCUGUGUAUAACCCACCUGUUUCCAGGCUACUCAGCUGGCGGAGAGGUAGAGGAGUCUGGAGGGAUGCUGAUCUUGGGAGAGUGGGGAGGGCAGAUAUUGCUUUAAUGUUCUUUUCCUUUGUCUUUAUCUGAAACAAUUUUAAUUGGCAAUAAAUUAAUUUUC
Molecule: long non-coding RNA, 907 nt
Organism: Lonchura striata (white-rumped munia)
Lineage: Eukaryota; Metazoa; Chordata; Aves; Passeriformes; Estrildidae
Source: RefSeq, a predicted model, not a curated record